Molecule: ribosomal RNA, 617 nt
Filed under: Rhodobium orientis
Lineage: Bacteria; Pseudomonadati; Pseudomonadota; Alphaproteobacteria; Hyphomicrobiales; Rhodobiaceae
Description: bacterial SSU rRNA
Rfam family: Bacterial small subunit ribosomal RNA
Source: RNAcentral
CUACACAUGCAAGUCGAACGCACCUUCGGGUGAGUGGCAGACGGGUGAGUAACGCGUGGGAAUCUACCCAUUGGUGCGGAAUAACUCGGGGAAACUCGGGCUAAUACCGCAUAAGCCCUCCGGGGGAAAGAUUUAUCGCCAAUGGAUGAGCCCGCGUUGGAUUAGCUAGUUGGUGGGGUAACGGCCCACCAAGGCGACGAUCCAUAGCUGGUCUGAGAGGAUGAUCAGCCACACUGGGACUGAGACACGGCCCAGACUCCUACGGGAGGCAGCAGUGAGGAAUAUUGGACAAUGGGCGCAAGCCUGAUCCAGCCAUGCCGCGUGAGUGAUGAAGGCCCUAGGGUUGUAAAGCUCUUUCAGUAGGGAAGAUAAUGACGGUACCUACAGAAGAAGCCCCGGCUAACUUCGUGCCAGCAGCCGCGGUAAUACGAAGGGGGCUAGCGUUGUUCGGAAUUACUGGGCGUAAAGCGCGCGUAGGCGGAUUGUUAAGUCAGGGGUGAAAUCCCGAGGCUCAACCUCGGGAACUGCCUUUGGUACUGGCAAUCUAGAGUCCGGGAGAGGUGAGUGGAAUUCCUUAGUGUAGCAGGGUGAAAUUCGUAAAAUAUUAGGGAAGAACA